Non-coding RNA from Xyrichtys novacula (pearly razorfish), 816 nucleotides. The record is from the annotation of a GenBank genome assembly. NCBI's taxonomy places the organism in Eukaryota, Metazoa, Chordata, Actinopteri, Labriformes, Labridae.
ACUGGCCUCCAAGUUUUCUAGGAUGAUGCAAUGUCCAGCCAUCAACACAUUUGUGAAGGAAUUUUUACUCCCCAAAAGAGCGCCCCCCCAUGGCAGGAGAAAAAAGUCCAUUUUUUUCUUGUCCCCUAAGGUGAAAAUACACAUUGUUGACUGUCACGCCUGUACGCUUUGUCAAAAUGACACAAAAAUUGACACACACAUGUAUCUCAAUAAGAUCUACAAAAAAGUCCACGCGCGCGUAUCUGUCAAAUGUACGGUUAAAGGGUUAUUGCGCAUUUUUUGCCGAUUCGCACACAUUGGAAUUUCGCUAACUCCUCCGAAGGCUUUCGUUCCACCGGCACCACAUUUGCUCAGGCCAAAUUACACCCCAUGGCCAUUAAAAGUUAUUCAAAUCAUGAUGCUGCACCCCACGGUUUACGUUCUAGGGGGCGCCAAAGAUAACCCAAAAAUCCACAUUUUUAAAAGUCUUAUAACUUUUUAUUUUUGUCCUCACUGGCCUCCAAGUUUUCUAGGAUGAUGCAAUGUCCAGCCAUCAACACAUUUGUGAAGGAAUUUUUACUCCCCAAAAGAGCGCCCCCCAUGGCAGGAGAAAAAAGUCCAUUUUUUCUUGUCCCCUAAGGUGAAAAUACACAUUGUUGACUGUCACGCCUGUACGCUUUGGCAAAAUGACACAAAAAUUGACAAUCAUGUGUAUCUCAAUUAGAUCUACGAAAAAGUCAAAGAGCGCGUAUCUGUAUAAUGUACGGUAAAAGGGCUAUUUUGCAUUUUUUGCCGAUUCGCACACAUUGGAAUUUCGCUAACUCCUCCUAAGGCUUU